Molecule: transfer RNA, 68 nt
Filed under: Marmota monax (woodchuck)
Lineage: Eukaryota; Metazoa; Chordata; Mammalia; Rodentia; Sciuridae
Description: tRNA.Ala
Source: RNAcentral
GGCCGUGGCUCAGCGGUAGAGCGCUUGCCUUGCACGUGCGAGGCCCCUGGGUUGGAUCCUCAGCACCA